RNAcentral lists this unclassified non-coding RNA (348 nucleotides) under soil metagenome. Its description in RNAcentral is "partial contains 5.8S ribosomal RNA, internal transcribed spacer 2, and large subunit ribosomal RNA". The stretch from base 1 to 120 matches the Rfam family "5.8S ribosomal RNA", at positions 35 to 154 of the family's 154-position model. The record is from RNAcentral.
GAUGAAGAACGCAGUGAAAUGCGAUAAGUAAUGUGAAUUGCAGAAUUCAGUGAAUCAUCGGAUCUUUGAACGCACAUUGCGCCCGCCAGUAUUCUGGCGGGCAUGCCUGUCUGAGCGUCAUUUCAACCCUCAUGCCCCUAGGGCGUGGUGUUGGGGAUCGGCCAAAGCCCGCGAGGGACGGCCGGCCCCUAAAUCUAGUGGCGGACCCGUCGUGGCCUCCUCUGCGAAGUAGUGAUAUUCCGCAUCGGAGAGCGAUGAGCCCCUGCCGUUAAACCCCCAACUUUCCAAGGUUGACCUCAGAUCAGGUAGGAAUACCCGCUGAACUUAAGCAUAUCAAUAAGCGGAGGA